UACGUAGGUGGCGAGCGUUGUCCGGAUUUACUGGGCGUAAAGGGAGCGUAGGCGGACUUUUAAGUGAGAUGUGAAAUACUCGGGCUCAACUUGAGUGCUGCAUUUCAAACUGGAAGUCUAGAGUGCAGGAGAGGAGAAUGGAAUUCCUAGUGUAGCGGUGAAAUGCGUAGAGAUUAGGAAGAACACCAGUGGCGAAGGCGAUUCUCUGGACCGUAACUGACGCUGAGGCUCGAAAGCGUGGGGAGCAAACAGG
Molecule: ribosomal RNA, 253 nt
Filed under: uncultured bacterium
Lineage: Bacteria
Description: partial 16S ribosomal RNA
Rfam family: Bacterial small subunit ribosomal RNA
Source: RNAcentral